RNAcentral lists this ribosomal RNA (253 nucleotides) under uncultured bacterium. RNAcentral describes it as "partial 16S ribosomal RNA". It matches the Rfam family "Bacterial small subunit ribosomal RNA", at positions 524 to 776 of the family's 1533-position model. The record is from RNAcentral.
UACGUAGGGUGCAAGCGUUAUCCGGAAUUAUUGGGCGUAAAGAGCUCGUAGGCGGUUUGUCGCGUCUGCCGUGAAAGUCCGGGGCUCAACUCCGAUCUGCGGUGGGUACGGGCAGACUAGAGUGAUGUAGGGGGAGACUGGAAUUCCUGGUGUAGCGGUGAAAUGCGCAGAUAUCAGGAGGAACACCGAUGGCGAAGGCAGGUCUCUGGGCCACUACUGACGCUGAGAAGCGAAAGCGUGGGGAGCGAACAGG